GUCCACGCUGUAAACGAUGGGCACUAGGUGUUCGGGGUAUUGACCCCCUGAGUGCCGCAGCUAACGCAUUAAGUGCCCCGCCUGGGGACUACGGCCGCAAGGCUAAAACUCAAAGGAAUUGACGGGGGCCCCGCACAAGCGGUGGAGCAUGUGGUUUAAUUCGACGCAACGCGAAGAACCUUACCUGGGCUAGACAACACCGGACAACCCCGGAAACGGGGUCUUCCCGCAAGGGACUGGUGGUUCAGGUGCUGCAUGGCUGUCGU
Molecule: ribosomal RNA, 266 nt
Filed under: uncultured bacterium
Lineage: Bacteria
Description: partial 16S ribosomal RNA
Rfam family: Bacterial small subunit ribosomal RNA
Source: RNAcentral